CUUCCGCCAACGUUGCAGGGCUCUACCACAACAUCCCAAUAUUGUUAGAAUUUAUAAUGCAUUCACAGACAGUGUGCAGGCACUGCCAGGGUCACUCUCAUUAUAUCCGGACGCCUUACCAGCACGCAUCAACCCCAAUGGUUUUGGUAGGAAUAUGAGUCUCUUCCUUGUCAUGAAAAGGUAUGAUAUGAGUUUAAAGGAUUUCUUAUGCCAACAUCCCCCAAAUACCAAAAUAGCCAUCAUGUUGUUAACUCAAUUACUUGAAGCAGUUACUCAUAUGGUUUCCAAUGGAGUUGCUCAUCGAGACCUAAAAGCAGACAAUAUUCUGCUUGAUUUAGAUGAAAGUGAUACCAUGUGCCCUACUUUAGCUGUAACUGAUUUUGGAUGCUGCUUAGCUGACCAAGUGUAUGGUUUGAGUUUACACUACACUACACCCGAUACAGACAAAGGUGGCAAUGCUGCUCUUAUGGCCCCAGAGGUUGCAUGUGCUGAACCUGGCCCUUUCACAUAUAUCAACUACAAUAAGGCAGAUGUUUGGGCUGUUGGAACUUUAGCUUACCAGCUGUUUGGAAUGGACAACCCUUUCCAUAGGAUAAGCAAUAAUCAAGGCCUUAGUGGCACAGGAACCAAAUUUUUACUGUCAGCCACUUACACCGAAUCAGAGCUUCCUCCUUUUCCAGAAACUGUUCCAUCCAUCAUUUCAAAGCUUGUGAUGGAAAUGUUAAUGCGCAACCCAUCCAGACGUAUUACUGCUGAACUUGCUGCUACCGUAUGUCAAUUAUAUUUGUGGGCUCCAAGUUCUUGGAUUCAGUUCGGAAAGAAGACCACUCUUCCAAGUAGUUCUGAGAUUCUACAGUGGUUGUUCUGCCUUACUACCAAAGUUGUGUCUGAAGGACGAAGAAUAAGCUCUGCGAAAUUCAUGUCUGAUGAGGGUGAACCGCUAUUCAAGGCGGAGUUUAAUUCUGAUCUUGGACAUGCUUCUCCAGAAUAUAAUUUGGUUGAAAGCUUUUUGAGACGAAUCAAGCUGUCGGUGGUUCGGGAUGCUCUCCAGUGGAUUAACCAAGCUUAAAAAUGCUUUUUUCUUCUUUUAGAACUUGCUGUUUGUUUGUUUAUAAUUUGGAAGUACUGGGGUUUUGUCAGUAAUAACAUUUAAUUCUGCAGCAGUGCGUUUGGGCUUUAGGAAUCAUCAGUACAGUUACCCUUUUCAAGCACAUAUAAAUUUUUACUUCAAGAUGCAACCCAAGUGUGCCAUGUAGAAUGUGUGCACUAUAUAGAGAGGUCCAAUUAAUUUAUGGCUGUGAAUUAAUGUAAGGGUGAGAGGUAAAGGGCAGCUUUCUGGUAAAGGAAAGUGAUUGCUUGGUCUUGAUGCAAAAAAGGAAAAAUUUUCUAGGUAAUCAGUUGUGUAAUGACAGACUACCUUGAACACUAAAAGUUCUCAUGUCAUGGAUAAAUUUUGGCUCUUCCUCUCCUCUUGUCCCCAAUGAGGAAAGCAUUAGGGUUACAUGGAUGGAUUGAACGAUUGGAAAAUGUGGGAAGACAUUCUUCAUAAAUAGAAGAACAUUUCACAGUCUGUUAACUACUUUUAAUUUUAUUAUAGGUACUUAAUAAACAAACAUGUCUAAAAACAUGUAAUUAAAUCAACAGCCAAA
Molecule: RNA transcript, 1649 nt
Organism: Frankliniella occidentalis (western flower thrips)
Lineage: Eukaryota; Metazoa; Arthropoda; Insecta; Thysanoptera; Thripidae
Gene name: serine/threonine-protein kinase Pink1, mitochondrial
Source: RefSeq, a predicted model, not a curated record